GUGAGGCCUGAGAGUGGGGUGGGGGUGGAGAUGAGCCCCCAUUCCCCAGGGCAGGCGGGGCAGGGGCAAUGCCGGAGGAGCAGGUCCCACCCAUGGGGUGGGGCCGCAGAGCUCUUCGCCGCCAAGGCCGCUGUAGGCUGGGCUGGCGCCAACAGGGUCCAGGGAUGAAGCCACCGAGGCAGGGAGAAAAGUGCUUUGCCCUACAAGCAACUAAGUCAUAGGGCCAGGAGCAAAACCCUGAAAACCUCAGGAGACUUGCAGAGCCAUGAGGCUGGCUCAGCAACACAAAAGCCAGGGGCAAGCCUCAGCUCUAGCAGUGCGGUGGGAGCACCCAAGGCCAGUCACAUCCUAGGGUGGCCUGGAGAGUCCUGACCCCUGACGUGCAAGCCGGCAUCAUCCCCGGGACUGUGAGUCUGGUGGGGGUGAUGCCCAGGAAUGUGACAUUGUGUGGCCCAGAGGUACCCUUAAGACUGGAGGAUCACCAGGCGGGCCCUGACCUCAUCACAGGAGCCCUUUAAAAGCAGUUUCCUUUGCCUGGUUGAAGAAAUCGGAGGGAUCAAACCAAAGAAGGUUUUCUGUUGUUGAGAUGAGGGGGCCACGUGGCAAGGAUCUGAGAACUGCUCCCAGCCAACAGCCAGCAAGACAACAAGACCUUAACUGCAAGGAAGUGAGUUCUGCCAACAAGAAGAGAAUGGGCUUGGAGGCAGGUUUGACCCCAGGGCCUCCACACAAGAACUGAGCCCAACUGCCCACUUGGUUUCAGCCUUGGGUUACUAAGAAUUAGGAGGUAAUGAAUGAGAGUUGUUUUAAGCUGUUGGUUUUGUGGUGAUUUGCUAUGAAGCCAUAUCAAACUAAUAUACACACAGAGGUGUUGGCCCCUGGGCCAUUCCUAGGAAGCCAGCUCUGCGAAGGAGGAAGAAGGGCAGAGAGGCACACAGAGCUGCCCACCACAGCAGCUGUGUCCUCCCUGUUGGCCACCACAGUAGCAGUUGGGGAUGGUCAGCAUCCUUCAGGCAGACUCCAGCCCCGGGUGCUGGAGCUCAGGUGCUAGGGAUCAAGAGAAGUAGCCCUCUCUGGGACCUCCAGAGUCUUCUCAUGUGGGUGGGGUAGGACCCACCCAGUCAGGCUCAGAGCACCGCAAUGCCUCACACUCAUUGUGACUCUGGCCAGGCCCUCUCUGAGCCUCUGUGUCCUCAUCUGGAGCACAGGGACCAGGUGUGUGGAAGCCCGUGGCAUAGUGCCAGGAACACAGUAGAUGUGCACAGUGUGCACUAGCAGGAACACACAACAGGGGUACUGACUGUCAGCACCUAGGCAGGCACACGCAAUGGGGUACUGACUGUCAGCCAUACUGACUGUCAGCGUGCUAGCAGGCAUACACAACAGCUGUACUGACAGCACACUAGCAGGCACAUGCCAUAGGUGUACUGACUCUCAGUGCACUGGCAGGCACACGCAAUAG
RNAcentral lists this long non-coding RNA (1462 nucleotides) under Homo sapiens (human). RNAcentral describes it as "HSALNT0270536". The record is from RNAcentral. Lineage: Eukaryota; Metazoa; Chordata; Mammalia; Primates; Hominidae.